CCGAGUUUACAACUCCCAAACCCCUGUGAACAUACCUAUCGUUGCCUCGGCGGAUCCGCCCCGGCGCCCUCGGGCCCGGAUCAGGCGCCCGCCGGAGACCCCAAACUCUUGUAUUUCUUUAGUAUCUUCUGAGUAAACAAGCAAAUAAAUUA
RNAcentral lists this unclassified non-coding RNA (152 nucleotides) under soil metagenome. Its description in RNAcentral is "partial internal transcribed spacer 1". The record is from RNAcentral.